GCGUUAGAGAGUUUUUAUAAUCUGCUCAGGACGAACGCUGGCCGGCGGUGCCUAAUACAAUGCAAGUCGAGGCGGACCAGAAUGGGAGCUGCUCCCUUGAUGUUCAGCGGGCGGACGGGUGAAGUAACACCGUGGGUAACCCUGCCUGUAAGACUGGGAAUAACUCCGGGAAACCCGGGGCUUAAUACCGGGAUGCUUGAUUGAACCGCCAUGGUUCAAUUAUUAAAAGGGUGGCUUUCAGCUAUCCACUUACAGAUGGACCCGCGGCGCAUAGCUAGUUGGUGAGGUAACGGCUCACCAAGGCAACGAUGCGUAGCCGACUGAGAGGGUGAUCGGCCACACUGGGACUGAGACACGGCCCAGACUCCUACGGGAGGCAGCAGUAGGGAAUCUUCCGCAAUGGACGAAAGUCUGACGGAGCAACGCCGCGUGAGUGAUGAAGGUUUUCGGAUCGUAAAACUCUGUUGUUAGGGAAGAACAAGUACCGUUCGAAUAGGGCGGUACCUUGACGGUACCUAACCAGAAAGCCACGGCUAACUACGUGCCAGCAGCCGCGGUAAUACGUAGGUGGCAAGCGUUGUCCGGAAUUAUUGGGCGUAAAGCGCGCGCAGGCGGUUUCUUAAGUCUGAUGUGAAAGCCCCCGGCUCAACCGGGGAGGGUCAUUGGAAACUGGGGAACUUGAGUGCAGAAGAGGAGAGUGGAAUUCCACGUGUAGCGGUGAAAUGCGUAGAGAUGUGGAGGAACACCAGUGGCGAAGGCGACUCUCUGGUCUGUAACUGACGCUGAGGCGCGAAAGCGUGGGGAGCGAACAGGAUUAGAUACCCUGGUAGUCCACGCCGUAAACGAUGAGUGCUAAGUGUUAGAGGGUUUCCGCCCUUUAGUGCUGCAGCAAACGCAUAAGCACUCCGCCUGGAGAUGCAGGCC
RNAcentral lists this ribosomal RNA (924 nucleotides) under Bacillus licheniformis. Its description in RNAcentral is "bacterial SSU rRNA". It matches the Rfam family "Bacterial small subunit ribosomal RNA", at positions 1 to 887 of the family's 1533-position model. Lineage: Bacteria; Bacillati; Bacillota; Bacilli; Caryophanales; Bacillaceae. The record is from RNAcentral.